UAGGGAAUCUUCCACAAUGGACGAAAGUCUGAUGGAGCAACGCCGCGUGAGUGAUGAAGGGUUUCGGCUCGUAAAACUCUGUUGUUGGAGAAGAACGGGUGUCAGAGUAACUGUUGACAUCGUGACGGUAUCCAACCAGAAAGCCACGGCUAACUACGUGCCAGCAGCCGCGGUAAUACGUAGGUGGCAAGCGUUGUCCGGAUUUAUUGGGCGUAAAGCGAGCGCAGGCGGUUUUUUAGGUCUGAUGUGAAAGCCUUCGGCUUAACCGGAGAAGUGCAUCGGAAACCGGGAGACUUGAGUGCAGAAGAGGACAGUGGAACUCCAUGUGUAGCGGUGAAAUGCGUAGAUAUAUGGAAGAACACCAGUGGCGAAGGCGGCUGUCUGGUCUGCAACUGACGCUGAGGCUCGAAAGCAUGGGUAGCGAACAGGAUUAGAUACCCUGGUAGUCCAUGCCGUAAACGAUGAGUGCUAAGUGUUGGAGGGUUUCCGCCCUUCAGUGCUGCAGCUAACGCAUUAAGCACUCCGCCUGGGGGAGUACGACCG
RNAcentral lists this ribosomal RNA (543 nucleotides) under uncultured bacterium. RNAcentral describes it as "partial 16S ribosomal RNA". It matches the Rfam family "Bacterial small subunit ribosomal RNA", at positions 355 to 888 of the family's 1533-position model. The record is from RNAcentral.